AGUGAACGCUGGCGGUAGGCCUAACACAUGCAAGUCGAACGGCAGCACAGUAAGAGCUUGCUCUUACGGGUGGCGAGUGGCGGACGGGUGAGGAAUACAUCGGAAUCUACUUUUUCGUGGGGGAUAACGUAGGGAAACUUACGCUAAUACCGCAUACGACCUACGGGUGAAAGCAGGGGAUCUUCGGACCUUGCGCGAUUGAAUGAGCCGGUGUCGGAUUAGCUAGUUGGCGGGGUAAAGGCCCACCAAGGCGACGAUCCGUAGCUGGUCUGAGAGGAUGAUCAGCCACACUGGAACUGAGACACGGUCCAGACUCCUACGGGAGGCAGCAGUGGGGAAUAUUGGACAAUGGGCGCAAGCCUGAUCCAGCCAUACCGCGUGGGUGAAGAAGGCCUUCGGGUUGUAAAGCCCUUUUGUUGGGAAAGAAAAGCAGCAGGUUAAUACCCCGCUGUUCUGACGGUACCCAAAUAAUAAGCACCGGCUAACUUCGUG
RNAcentral lists this ribosomal RNA (492 nucleotides) under uncultured bacterium. RNAcentral's name for it is "partial 16S ribosomal RNA". It matches the Rfam family "Bacterial small subunit ribosomal RNA", at positions 29 to 507 of the family's 1533-position model. The record is from RNAcentral.